Molecule: ribosomal RNA, 226 nt
Filed under: Janthinobacterium lividum
Lineage: Bacteria; Pseudomonadati; Pseudomonadota; Betaproteobacteria; Burkholderiales; Oxalobacteraceae
Description: partial 16S ribosomal RNA
Rfam family: Bacterial small subunit ribosomal RNA
Source: RNAcentral
UCAAAGGAAUUGACGGGGACCCGCACAAGCGGUGGACGAAGUGGAAUAAUACGAUGCAACGCGAAAAACCUUACCUACCCUUGACAUGGCUGGAAUCCCCGAGAGAUUGGGGAGUGCUCGAAAGAGAACCAGUACACAGGUGCUGCAUGGCUGUCGUCAGCUCGUGUCGUGAGAUGUUGGGUUAAGUCCCGCAACGAGCGCAACCCUUGUCAUUAGUUGCUACGAA